UAGAGUUUUAGUAGAGGAUGCUGAAAAGUUCCUGGCUUUAAGGGGUAUUGUGAAGGGCCUGGUUAGAGGCCUAACCCUUCGAGUUCUUUUACAAGGCUUAGAAAAACUGUAGGACUGCUGCAAUAAGUGUAUGAAUCUGAGAGAAGAAUAUGUUGAA
Molecule: long non-coding RNA, 157 nt
Organism: Octopus sinensis (East Asian common octopus)
Lineage: Eukaryota; Metazoa; Mollusca; Cephalopoda; Octopoda; Octopodidae
Exons: 4
Source: RefSeq, a predicted model, not a curated record